UAAUUUAGGAAACCAUGAGGAAAAUGAACCUAUGAACCCUUCACUCCAUUAAGAUCUGGAUCUGUUAAAGCUGCCUGUAUGCCUUUCCUUGAUUAUAAUCCUUCCCUACUCUCCGUGAGUAACCACAAUCUUUUUUCUUUUUUUUCAGUAAGCUCUACGCUCAACGUGGGGCUUGAACUCACCAUCCCAGAUCAAGAGUCGCAUGCUCUACCAAAUGAGCCAGCCAGGUGGAUAACUGAAGCACUGUGACCGUAACCCUAUUUGCAAACUAAGAAGCUGGACUGCCAUGGUCUAUGGAUACCGGCAGAACACAUGAGACUCCUGGUCAGAGACAAAGGACUUCAUCAUCCACAGCCCCGGCAAGCAGCGUGUCGGCAUUGGUUACCUUUGUCCCAUUCCCAGAGGGCUAUGAGAAGAGGGCUGGAUAAUACCUGCAUUGCAGGAGAGGAACCCUGAGCCUUAGAGAACCUGAAUCUUUUAUAAUUGGGCAAUAAAUUAUAAAUUUAUUUAUAGUCAGGCAAACCUGACUUUGCCUUACAGGGAGAUACUAUCUUUAUUAAGGAACAGUAAACAAAUCUACCUUUUGUUCUGGAGGGAGGCCUUAUCUCUGUCUUCCCAGGCUGUUUGCUAUACUAAGAAUCUUGAAAAGACAGCCUGGAAUAAAGGCAGUUAGUGUCUCUGCUCACAAGAUGUGCAGAAACAUGAGUCUCAAGUAGAAUCAUCUCCCAACAACAACCAAAUGUUCUAGCACCAUUUACUCCCUAAUAUAUACUUUUCCAACCAAGUUAUUGUGCUAUCUCUUCUGAUAUUAAUUUUCAAAAAAAUACAUUCAUAUACUUCUAGGCUUUGUAUUUUGCUUCAUUGGUGUGUCUAUCUUAAUUAUUAUGGUUUUAUAAUAAAUAAAUAUCUGAUUGA
Molecule: long non-coding RNA, 915 nt
Organism: Neofelis nebulosa (Clouded leopard)
Lineage: Eukaryota; Metazoa; Chordata; Mammalia; Carnivora; Felidae
Exons: 2
Source: RefSeq, a predicted model, not a curated record